Pelobates cultripes (western spadefoot toad) is the source of this 209-nucleotide non-coding RNA. The record is from the annotation of a GenBank genome assembly. NCBI's taxonomy places the organism in Eukaryota, Metazoa, Chordata, Amphibia, Anura, Pelobatidae.
GGACACUCCAGUGCUCAAAAGGGUAUAUUUAUUUGGAACACAGUGAAACCAGAAAUGUUUCGACCCAUAUGGUUCUUUGUCAAGCCACUGUCAUCAAGGAAUACCAUUACCAUGGUGUGUGGUCUGCAACAAUCUCUAGGUAGGUGGUAAGUGUCAAAGUAACAUCCACAUGAUUGCCAGGACCCAAAGUUUCCCAGCAGAGCAUUGCC